This 254-nucleotide ribosomal RNA is filed under the name uncultured bacterium. Its description in RNAcentral is "partial 16S ribosomal RNA". It matches the Rfam family "Bacterial small subunit ribosomal RNA", at positions 524 to 776 of the family's 1533-position model. The record is from RNAcentral.
UACGUAGGGUGCAAGCGUUAAUCGGAAUUACUGGGCGUAAAGCGUGCGCAGGCGGUUUUCCAAGACAGAUGUGAAAUCCCCGGGCUCAACCUGGGAAUGGCAUUUGUGACUGGAAGGCUAGAGUGUGUCAGAGGGGGGUAGAAUUCCGACGUGUAGCAGUGAAAUGCGUAGAGAUGUGGAGGAAUACCGAUGGCGAAGGCAGCCCCCUGGGAUAACACUGACGCUCAUGCACGAAAGCGUGGGGAGCAAACAGG